GAAUAAAGCUCCUUUAGAAGAGAUGAGAGAAGUCACUACUUCUGACCUUAUUGAUCAAAAAUUAUUAGUGGCAAAAUGAAGGAGCAACUUUGCUGAGUUUUCCUAAUGUUCACUUUUCAAAACUUACACCUGGUUUUAAUCUGAAUUCGUCUAACUGAGUGUUAUUUUCCCCUGCAGUACAUCCCCUGGCCUACUAGUCUCAAGCUCACCUGCAGGAGCAGUGAGGAAUGGGAGUUCUUAAAAUCUCUUUUACAUAUACGAAGAGUGAGCACCAAGAAUUUGUUCUACAAAUACAUUUAUCAGAAGAUGAAAAGAGGAAGGUAGCACCAGAUGGUACCAAGGGGGAGAGCUGUGGGUGCGGAGAUCCCGGCCGCCAGGCCACGUGCUGGCUUCGUCUCUGCUUGAUGAAUGGGGAAAAUGAGGUUAUCUCGGAGGUCAAGCACAGAAGCAGAAUUAGAGCCAAAGCCCCUGAGCCCCAGGCCAGCUAUGGUGCCCACUACUCAUCACAAAUGAUACUGGCCCCUGACCAACAAUACAUACUAUAGGAAUCUACUUCGCAAAGUUUGGGCUGAAGCCAGGGCAGGGCCUUGGGAAGGCAGCCCAGCCGUGUCCCAUCCCUCCUCCAGCCCAUUACACCGUAACGGCUCCCUGACUGGGCUUCUUCUGGUAAAGGGCUGGGCUGCACUGGAAACUCAAGCCCAGUAANNNNNCCCCCAAUCUUAAUUUUAAAACUAAAAGUUGAGGCAGAGGGGCUCCCUGGCCACCAGCCCAGCCCUCAGGCCCUGGCCCCAUGCUGGCAGGAAGAGGCGAGGGCCUGCAGCACAGGGGUGCAGGAAGUAAAUGGCAGGAAAAGUGAGGGGCUGUGAUGGCCACUUACGGAGUUGCAUGCAUGAGUAGCUAAUUCCACCCAGGGUUAAUCUAACUCAGGUACUGAUGUGGGCAUUUAGAUAGCGGAUAACUCAUGCUGUCAUUAACCUGUCAGCAUUACAGCAGGAAGAUUAUAUCUUCACAAGAAUAUAUUGAUCCAGAAAGGGACGUGUUAGGCAUGACCAAGCUUUUUCUAUGCUGUCUUUUACCACCUGCUUUUCCCCUGAUCAAAGAUGCUUAAUGUGUGUGGUCAGUGCAAGAAAAACCCGUGUUUUCCUCUGGGCUGCAUAGAUAUUUUUCUUUGUCCUCUUCCCCAUUAUCUUGGGUGCAAUCUAAAUACCUGGUUGUUUACACAGCCUCUUCCUUUUCAUGCUGAUGGAGCAGCAAAUGUAAGAUAGCAGUCUCUGACCACCUACCACAGCCUUCUUCAGAGAGACCUGUGGUCACUGUGUAUCCUCUGAGCAGCACAGAGGCCGGGUGGCUCUGAAGUGGAAGCUGAGUGUGUAACACAAGAUGUUGCUGGAGGUACAAAGUCCUGCUCAACAGAGGACUUAGCAGCUCAAGGACUGCACUGCGCUCAAGUAGCUUUCCAGGUUUUGGAUCAGAAUGAGUUUCUCUAAAUAUUCAGAGCUUGGGAAGAGUUUACCAGGGUACACUGGCUAGAAAUGUAUUGCAGCA
Molecule: long non-coding RNA, 1545 nt
Filed under: Anser brachyrhynchus (Pink-footed goose)
Lineage: Eukaryota; Metazoa; Chordata; Aves; Anseriformes; Anatidae
Description: lncRNA (ENSABRG00000005774.1)
Source: RNAcentral